Molecule: ribosomal RNA, 301 nt
Filed under: uncultured bacterium
Lineage: Bacteria
Description: partial 16S ribosomal RNA
Rfam family: Bacterial small subunit ribosomal RNA
Source: RNAcentral
CAGCCGCCGCGGUAAUACGAAGGGGGCUAGCGUUGCUCGGAAUUACUGGGCGUAAAGGGAGCGUAGGCGGAUCGUUUAGUCAGGGGUGAAAUCCCGGGGCUCAACCUCGGAACUGCCUUUGAUACUGGCGAUCUUGAGUAUGGGAGAGGUGUGUGGAACUCCGAGUGUAGAGGUGAAAUUCGUAGAUAUUCGGAAGAACACCAGUGGCGAAGGCGACACACUGGCCCAUUACUGACGCUGAGGCUCGAAAGCGUGGGGAGCAAACAGGAUUAGAUACCCGUGUAGUCCCUGUCUCUUAUAU